ACAAUGGCUAUUACAGAGGGCAGCUGCAUGGCAACAUGAUGCAAAUCUUCAAAAAGAGUCUCAGUUCGGAUUGGAGUCUGCAACUCGACUCCAUGAAGCUGGAUUCGCUAGUAAUCGCGCAUCAGCAAUGGCGCGGUGAAUACGUUCCCGGGCCUU
Molecule: ribosomal RNA, 156 nt
Filed under: uncultured Ignavibacterium sp.
Lineage: Bacteria; Pseudomonadati; Ignavibacteriota; Ignavibacteria; Ignavibacteriales; Ignavibacteriaceae
Description: partial 16S ribosomal RNA
Rfam family: Bacterial small subunit ribosomal RNA
Source: RNAcentral